GAUGAACGCUGGCGGCGUGCCUAAUACAUGCAAGUCGAGCGAACAGACGAGGAGCUUGCUCCUCUGACGUUAGCGGCGGACGGGUGAGUAACACGUGGAUAACCUACCUAUAAGACUGGGAUAACUUCGGGAAACCGGAGCUAAUACCGGAUAAUAUAUUGAACCGCAUGGUUCAAUAGUGAAAGACGGUUUUGCUGUCACUUAUAGAUGGAUCCGCGCCGCAUUAGCUAGUUGGUAAGGUAACGGCUUACCAAGGCAACGAUGCGUAGCCGACCUGAGAGGGUGAUCGGCCACACUGGAACUGAGACACGGUCCAGACUCCUACGGGAGGCAGCAGUAGGGAAUCUUCCGCAAUGGGCGAAAGCCUGACGGAGCAAAGCCGCGUGAGGGACGCAGGUCUUCGGAUCGUAAAACUCUGUUAUUAGGGAAGAACAAAUGUGUAAGUAACUAUGCACGUCUUGACGGUACCUAAUCAGAAAGCCACGGCUAACUACGUG
RNAcentral lists this ribosomal RNA (497 nucleotides) under uncultured bacterium. RNAcentral describes it as "partial 16S ribosomal RNA". It matches the Rfam family "Bacterial small subunit ribosomal RNA", at positions 28 to 507 of the family's 1533-position model. The record is from RNAcentral.